AACACCCCACGAAAAAAAACACUCCUAUCGUCCUGGAGAUCCCAAGCUGCUAUCCCUCGUCACGCAGCCGCAGACGCGCUGCUACCCCUCGUCACGCAGCCGCAGACGCCGCGGCCGAUCCGGGGAGACGACGCCGCGACCCGGCGACCGCCGCCGUCGGAGCGGAUCACCAAGACGCGGCCUUCGUGGAUCACCAGGACGCCGCCACUCCUCCCUCUACCGGCUUCGAUCCUUUGUCUAGGGUUCUACGCCGCCGCCGCCCCUGCUCCCGCAUCUCACCUUCGUCCACGAGCACCUGCUGCUGCCACAGUGCGCCGGGCGCAUCCCUUCCGCCAGCGCCGACCAUCUCCCUCCCUCCAGCGCCGGCCGCCUCCCUCCCCGAGUGCGAGUGCCAGUUGCCUCCCCGCGGCCGCCUCCAUCCCCUCCCUCGAACGCACUGGGCCUGCCGAAUCUCGCCGUCGAGCGCGUGGGCCACCCAGGCAGCCAACCUCGUUCGUCGUCUCGGCCACCAUGAUCUACACCGACCAGGCCCUCGGCGAGCAAGCAGUCCCGUUGAUGGGAUUCCCAUGGAGGAUGUUGCCUUGCUGGCGUGGCGGUUGUUGUGCUCAUGUGGUCCUCUCAUGUCGCAGCAGCCAACUACGAUGAUUCACUGAUCUUGCUCUCUCAUGGUAAGGAGCCUGUGGCUCUCAGGUCUCAACUAAUCACAAGGUCCUCUUCUUCCCUCCGAUCUCCUCGACCUGUCCGACGCCGGCGACUCCUCACCGCCCCGGGCCUUUGGAAGAAAAGUUUGGACCAUCCCUCGAUCUCCUCUCCCUGGCCGACGCCGCCGAGGAGAGGAGAGGACGACUGUCAAGGACCGGCAUUCGCCGGCGCGCAGCUCGGCGUUGGUCAGGAAGAGCACCAGCGUCAUGCCCAGGCUCAUGACCCACAGCCGGAGCUUCGUCGCCAACAGGGGCGACCCUCCUCCGCCGUCGAACAAGAUCCCCAAGAGCCCCUUCCCACCUGAGAAGAUCUCGAUGAGCUUCACGUCCGUGUGGAUCAUGAGCAGGAUGGCCAGGAAGGAGGAGCCCUCCUCGCCGGUCUCCGACGACAACGACGACGUUGGCAGCACAGCCAUGUCCUCCAAGCGGCGCCCCUUGUCGGUCGCUCGGGUGCCGUGCCGGGAAAGCUCAAUGCUCUCGGGAAGCCAUGGAGCAGAGGGAGCAGGCGCAGAAGGUGGCGCUUGAGGCCUUGCGCAACGCGUCGGCGACGGAGAACAUAGUUAGGAUCUACAAGUAUGUCCAGCAAUGGCACCUCUUUUUCCUAUGGCAAUUUGACACCGUCUGGACAGAGUGGCUUGUCUGCUUGAGCCCGCAUACUACGACGGCCAACUUGCUCGGUGCACGCGUCGGUUGGUCCCAGGUCAGGCCCCUCUAGAUCCCACUGGGAAGCUGCAGUACUGGAUGGAUGAGAACUACGCUUACAAUUGCGAGCACUGCAAGGUAUGCAUGUGUCCCUCUUCCACGGAUGUCAACAUGUCGUUUUUUAUAAGUUUUAGACACAGUCUGAUCUAUGUACUUUGUCCCUUUUUCCUUAGCAAACAAUGCAUUCUGCGAUAAUGAGCAUAUAGUGUCGAACUAUUAUUAUAACAUUGCAGUUUUGUUCGAGUCCAAGUUCCCGACCAUCAUCUCACAUAUAGUGUUCUCAAAUUAGAUCGAUAGUAAUGCAACUUUAUGCUAGAAUGUGCAACAAAACUAUCUUGUUUGUAUCUGUUAACUGUUGAAUCCCCAAGAUGAAUGCCCGUACAAGAAGCUUGUCAAUCCUAAAUUCUUUCUUAGUAAACAUAUUUGAUCACAUAGUUUUCUUUUUUUGUGAAUUCCGAACAUACUACUUGGAGGAAGGAGGGGGCGGCACAGAGAGGGUCCUCACACAGUCCAGUGAUCGACCACGACGACGCGGCCGUGCGGUGGGUACCCACGGACGCCGCUCUGCCGGGUCGGAGGAGGAGUCCAGAUCCGGCACCUCACCAAGGUCGGCGCUGCACGGUGAGUGCAACUGCCUUGAGAAACCCGGCCCGGCCAUCUUCUCCCCCGAGUUGCUGCCACGGCGAACCCUAUAGGCGCCUCUGCGCCCCAGUCAAGUCUCAUGUGUGCGUUGAUUUAGGAGGAGUGUACUGUUGAGAUCAAUGUCGGGAUCCGCAAGUUUCUAUUGCGUAGCAUCAGAUUAAUAUUGCCAAGCAUGAGCUGGCGGGGCAUAUGGAAGAUAUCCCAUGGGCCAGCAGCUGGAGCCUGGAAGCGGAUGUUAAUGCUCCAUAGCAGAGAGUUUAGGUUUACAGCAAGCAGCGACUACCAAAUUUUCCAUGUAGGAUAUAAACGGAGAUUGUCAUGGAGAUGGUUGCCAUCAGUUCCAUUUUGUUGCACAUCACAAGCCUGCCAUUUUAGUACCUUGAGGUCUGACUCAUGCAUGCAGAUGGGGAGAUGCAUUCAUGUGCUUGCUGUUGCGUGCCAGUAGCUUCGUUCAGUUGCUUCAGUGGGAUAAAGUUACUCGAUGUGGAUUUUGUUCUGUAAACGUUCAACAAAUUUGCCAGCGAGUAGUUUGACACAUACGAGCAUGAGGUUCUUCUGGUAACAAGUUCUUGAUGCGUCGAUAGGAUAAGUUUUACAGAAAUGAGAUGAUCUUCUUAAGGGAGGCAUUUUUACAUCUUUGCACAGGUGUACUUUUGCGGCUGUACUUUUGUUAAUUGAAAGUGGAAUUACCCCAAUUGAUAACCAAAUUUUGUGCUCACUGCCGACAUGGGGUUGACGAUGACGUCCCAGAGCCCUUGCCUCUGCUUGAUGCUGCGUCGAGCAAGAUGAAGCCAUCAGAUACGUGUGGUGUGUAGAGUCCGUUCUAAUCAAUGGAAAGGAAGUGGAGGAAGGGAAAUUGCCUACAGAGUUAUUUACAUUUCAACCUGAUCACAAGGCCAUUAGAGAUUGGACUAUUCCACUCGGUCCGAACUACAUUAGGUCAAUUGUACAUUUUAUUUCAAGUUACGAAGAAUACGAGCUGAGAACAUAUAGGAGCUCUAUGUGGUUUAAAUAUUUUUAGACGAAGUUUGAUGUACUUCUCAUGAAUAUCUUCGUAAACAGAAAUAAUGGUAAACCAUGCACUGCUACAUUAUGUUUCACCAGAAUCACUCUUUAUAAUAUCUUGUUGCUUUCA
Molecule: long non-coding RNA, 3180 nt
Organism: Triticum aestivum (bread wheat)
Lineage: Eukaryota; Viridiplantae; Streptophyta; Magnoliopsida; Poales; Poaceae
Exons: 10
Source: RefSeq, a predicted model, not a curated record